Molecule: ribosomal RNA, 428 nt
Filed under: uncultured archaeon
Lineage: Archaea
Description: bacterial SSU rRNA
Rfam family: Archaeal small subunit ribosomal RNA
Source: RNAcentral
UACCAGCUCUCCGAGUGGUAGGGAUGAUUAUUGGGCUUAAAGCGUCCGUAGCCGGCUUAGCAAGUCUCCUGUUAAAUUCAGCGACCUAAUCGUUGAGCCGCGGGAGAUACUACUAGGCUAGGAGGCGGGAGAGGUCAACGGUAUUCUCGGGGUAGGGGUGAAAUCCUAUAAUCCCGGGAGGACCACCAGUGGCGAAGGCUGUUGGCUAGAACGCGCUCGACGGUGAGGGACGAAAGCUGGGGGAGCGAACCGGAUUAGAUACCCGGGUAGUCCCAGCUGUAAACGAUGCGGGCUAGGUGUUGGGGUGGCUACGAGCCACUUCAGUGCCGCAGGGAAGCCAUUAAGCCCGCCGCCUGGGGAGUACGGCCGCAAGGCUGAAACUUAAAGGAAUUGGCGGGGAGCACCACAAGGCGUGAAGCUUGCGGUUC